UGUCACUCAAAUAAAAAAUAAUAUAAAAAUAAAAUACAUAAAAUACCAACUAUACUUAUUAAAAAAUAAAGAUUCAAAACGAUUAAGAUAUAUCAACAUUGCAAAUAUAUAAUAGGAAAUUAUUAUUGUUUUAAUUUUGCCAAGAAAAACAAAAAAAUUUAUUUAUAAGAUAAAAGUGGCUAUCGCGCUGUUACUCUAUUUAUAUUAUAUCGUUUACAUAAUGAAUUGUGCCUAAAAUAUUUAUAUGUAGAAUAAUAAAUAAAUAAAAAACACUUA
RNAcentral lists this unclassified non-coding RNA (276 nucleotides) under Melitaea cinxia (Glanville fritillary). RNAcentral describes it as "misc RNA ENSMCXG00005010111.1". Lineage: Eukaryota; Metazoa; Arthropoda; Insecta; Lepidoptera; Nymphalidae. The record is from RNAcentral.